This 253-nucleotide ribosomal RNA is filed under the name uncultured bacterium. Its description in RNAcentral is "partial 16S ribosomal RNA". It matches the Rfam family "Bacterial small subunit ribosomal RNA", at positions 524 to 776 of the family's 1533-position model. The record is from RNAcentral.
UACGGAGGGUGCAAGCGUUAGUCGGAAUUACUGGGCGUAAAGGGUGCGUAGGCGGGUAAAUAAGUCAGUCGUGAAAUUCCGAGGCUCAACCUCGGAGCUGCGACUGAAACUGUAUACCUAGAGGGAUGGCGGAGAAAACGGAAUUCCACGUGUAGCGGUGAAAUGCGUAGAUAUGUGGAAGAACACCAGUGGCGUAGGCGGUUUUCUAGCCUCCCCCUGACGCUGAGGCACGAAAGCAAGGGGAGCAAACAGG